This 253-nucleotide ribosomal RNA is filed under the name uncultured bacterium. Its description in RNAcentral is "partial 16S ribosomal RNA". It matches the Rfam family "Bacterial small subunit ribosomal RNA", at positions 524 to 776 of the family's 1533-position model. The record is from RNAcentral.
UACGUAGGGUGAAGCGUUGUCCGGAAUUAUUGGGCGUAAAGAGCUCGUAGGUGGUUCGGUAAGUCGGAUGUGAAAUCUCCAGGCUCAACCUGGAGGGGUCAUUCGAUACUGCCGUGACUAGAGGUCGGUAGGGGAGUGUGGAAUUCCUGGUGGAGCGGUGAAAUGCGCAGAUAUCAGGAGGAACACCCGUAGCGAAGGCGGCACUCUGGGCCGAUACUGACACUGAGGAGCGAAAGCGUGGGGAGCGAACAGG